ACACAUUAUUUAAUCCCAUUUGCGGCAGUGUUUUGGACGUGCCAUGACAACGUAUGACAUUUGUACUGUCAUUUCUUGCUACCCCAUCGAAAAUUGUGUGCAUGCGCAUUUUAGUGCACAUUUAAUGCUCUUUAAAUGGCACAUCCAAAACACUGCUGCAAAUGGGAUUAAACAAUGUGU
This is a non-coding RNA of Xyrichtys novacula (pearly razorfish), 180 nucleotides long. The record is from the annotation of a GenBank genome assembly. NCBI's taxonomy places the organism in Eukaryota, Metazoa, Chordata, Actinopteri, Labriformes, Labridae.